RNAcentral lists this transfer RNA (73 nucleotides) under Phycisphaerae bacterium. RNAcentral's name for it is "tRNA-Ala". It matches the Rfam family "tRNA". From Rfam's summary of the family: Transfer RNA (tRNA) molecules are approximately 80 nucleotides in length. The record is from RNAcentral. RNAcentral also lists the same sequence under 1 other name. Lineage: Bacteria; Pseudomonadati; Planctomycetota; Phycisphaerae.
GGGGCCGUAGCUCAGUUGGGAGAGCGCUUGCAUGGCAUGCAAGAGGUCGUCGGUUCAAGCCCGAUCGGCUCCA